GGUGAAUUCCUUCAGAUGUGAUUGCCCCCAAGGUUAUACAGGUCCAUUUUGCACGAUACCGGUUGACGUGUGCGAUUCAAGCCCAUGUACAAACAAUGGGACGUGUGAAGUGACGAACAUCCCUGACGCUGGGUACGUUUGCACAUGCGCAGCGGGAUUUACCGGAACCAAUUGUCGAACCAACAUUGACGACUGCCUAUAUGGAAAGUGUGCAGCCUUUGCGACUUGUCAGGACGGAAUCAACUCUUACGUAUGCAUUUGUCAGUCUGGUUUUACUGGCACGUUCUGCACGG
This is a long non-coding RNA of Mya arenaria, 293 nucleotides long. RefSeq lists it as uncharacterized. The transcript has 3 exons. NCBI's taxonomy places the organism in Eukaryota, Metazoa, Mollusca, Bivalvia, Myida, Myidae. The record is from RefSeq and is a predicted model, not a curated record.